This 253-nucleotide ribosomal RNA is filed under the name uncultured bacterium. RNAcentral's name for it is "partial 16S ribosomal RNA". It matches the Rfam family "Bacterial small subunit ribosomal RNA", at positions 524 to 776 of the family's 1533-position model. The record is from RNAcentral.
UACGUAGGCAGCAAGCGUUGUUCGGAGUUACUGGGCGUAAAGGGUGCGUAGGCGGUUGUUUAAGUUUGGUGUGAAAUCUCCCGGCUCAACCGGGAGGGUGCGGCGAAUACUGAACGGCUAGAGUGCGGGAGAGGAGAGUGGAAUUCCUGGUGUAGCGGUGAAAUGCGUAGAUAUCAGGAGGAACACCUGUGGCGAAAGCGGCGCACUGGACCAUAACUGACGCUGAGGCGCGAAAGCUAGGGGAGCAAACAGG